GUUGGUUUAUUGAGAGGUUCUGUGCAGAAUCAGUCCUGGCAGGAUUCCCAGCGGGAUGAAGUGGGCGACUGCACUGAGCCUGUUUCUGGCUUUUUUAUCCCAUGUUCACUCCAAUCUCUUGUUGACACAGCCGGUGGCGGAUACCGCCAGACCCAGGGGCUCCAUCACACUGACUUGUAAAACCAGCGGGCUAGAUAUUAUAAACUCCUGGAUGGGCUGGGUGCGUCAGGUACCCGGCCAGCGGAUUGAGUGGCUGCUUUUGUACCACUCUUCUCCCAGCCAGCUAUUCGCCGCGGGGAUCCAAAGUAGGUUUACUCCGUACAAAGACACUGCAAAGAGUGUUUUUGCCUUGACCGUGAACAACUUGAGGGAGGAGGACACCGCCGUCUAUCACUGUGUGAGAUGGAGCACAGUGAGCGACCUGGACUACUGGGGAGGAGGCACCAUGCUUACGGUGACUGACGCGGCACCAUCGGCCCCCACUCUCUACCCUCUUCCCUCCUGUGCGCCACCCAGUCCCACCGACACGUUCACCUUCGGAUGUUUGGCGAUGGACUACUCUCCAACGGGCAUCGGCUUUUCCUGGAAGAAAGGCAAAGUAUCGAUAACCACCGGAAUGAGGAACUACCCCGCCGUGUUCAACAAGAAGGGAUCUUACAUCCGCAGCAGCCAGUUAACAGUUACCGAGAGAGAGGCGGGGAACAGCGCCUUCUACUGCGUGGUUCGGUACGGGGAUACAGUCAAGGAAGUCAGAAUGCCCGUUCGAAUGGUGCAUCAUCCAACCGUCAUAAUCACCGUGACUUCCAAUGAGGAAAUCAAAACGAGCAGCAACGGGACAGCCGUGUGUUCCAUGACCGAUUUCCGGCCAGCGCAACUAACCGUAAACUGGCUGAAGAAUGGACAGUCCCUGGAUUCAGGCGUCGUCACCAGUCCCUCCUUUGAGGUUGACGGGAACUUCUCCGCGACAAGCCAGGUGACAUUCUCAGCCGCAGAGUGGUUUAGUGGUUCAGUCUAUACUUGCCAGGUCACCCAUGAAGAAGACACGCAAAGCCGAAACAUCAGCAUCUCUCGAGAUCGUAACUCAUGCGAAGAAGAGCAUAUUACAAUUCAGCAGCCGCCACUGGAACAGGUCUUACUUGAAGCGACCGUUACAUUAACCUGCGUCGUCUCUCAUGCUCCUUAUGGCGUCCUGGUGUCUUGGAUCCAAAGAACUACGCCUUUGAAAUCUGAGAUUACCUUCCAGCCCGGCGCUUCCCCCGACAGCAUCAUCAGCAACCUGAACAUCUCGACUCAAGCUUGGCUAAGUGGGGACGAUUUCCACUGCAUCGUGAGCCACGAGGAAAUGCCGACUCCUAAAAGGGCUUCCAUCCGCAACGAAAAAGACCCACACCCUCGAGAACCGUCCGUCUCUGUCUUCCUUCCGCCGACAGGUGAAAUCCCCGCUCACAGAUCCAUCGCCCUCACCUGCUUAGUCAGAGGUUUCUCCCCUCGUCGUAUCUUCCUCAAGUGGACGGUCGAUGACAAGCCGGUUGAUUCGCGCAACUACAGGAACACCGACGUGGUUGCGGAGAAAGACAACAGCUCCUUCUUCAUGUACAGUCUGUUAUACGUCGGGGCGGAGAAGUGGAACAGUGGAACUUCUGUCUCGUGUGUGGUGGGACACGAAAGCCUCUCCAUGAAGACGAUUGCCAGAACGGUGAAUCGAUCCAGCGGUAAACCUAGUUUUGUCAACGUUUCCCUUGUACUGUUGGACACUGUCAAUUCUUGUCAAUGAGAAUCACUCGAAUGCAUUGAGUUAUCAAAUAAAUACGAAUAAAUGCG
Non-coding RNA from Pristis pectinata (smalltooth sawfish), 1821 nucleotides. The record is from the annotation of a RefSeq genome assembly. NCBI's taxonomy places the organism in Eukaryota, Metazoa, Chordata, Chondrichthyes, Rhinopristiformes, Pristidae.